UGGGGAAUAUUGGACAAUGGGCGCAAGCCUGAUCCAGCCAUGCCGCGUGAGUGAUGAAGGCCCUAGGGUUGUAAAGCUCUUUCACCGGUGAAGAUAAUGACGGUAACCGGAGAAGAAGCCCCGGCUAACUUCGUGCCAGCAGCCGCGGUAAUACGAAGGGGGCUAGCGUUGUUCGGAUUUACUGGGCGUAAAGCGCACGUAGGCGGACUUUUAAGUCAGGGGUGAAAUCCCGGGGCUCAACCCCGGAACUGCCUUUGAUACUGGAAGUCUUGAGUAUGGUAGAGGUGAGUGGAAUUCCGAGUGUAGAGGUGAAAUUCGUAGAUAUUCGGAGGAACACCAGUGGCGAAGGCGGCUCGCUGGACCAUUACUGACGCUGAGGUGCGAAAGCGUGGGGAGCAAACAGG
RNAcentral lists this ribosomal RNA (404 nucleotides) under Brucella melitensis. RNAcentral's name for it is "partial 16S ribosomal RNA". It matches the Rfam family "Bacterial small subunit ribosomal RNA", at positions 355 to 776 of the family's 1533-position model. The record is from RNAcentral. RNAcentral also lists the same sequence under 2 other names. Lineage: Bacteria; Pseudomonadati; Pseudomonadota; Alphaproteobacteria; Hyphomicrobiales; Brucellaceae.